GGUGAGUAAUGUCUGGGAAACUGCCUGAUGGAGGGGGAUAACUACUGGAAACGGUAGCUAAUACCGCAUAACGUCGCAAGACCAAAGAGGGGGACCUUCGGGCCUCUUGCCAUCGGAUGUGCCCAGAUGGGAUUAGCUAGUAGGUGGGGUAACGGCUCACCUAGGCGACGAUCCCUAGCUGGUCUGAGAGGAUGACCAGCCACACUGGAACUGAGACACGGUCCAGACUCCUACGGGAGGCAGCAGUGGGGAAUAUUGCACAAUGGGC
Molecule: ribosomal RNA, 268 nt
Filed under: Escherichia coli
Lineage: Bacteria; Pseudomonadati; Pseudomonadota; Gammaproteobacteria; Enterobacterales; Enterobacteriaceae
Also listed under: 1 other name
Description: partial 16S ribosomal RNA
Rfam family: Bacterial small subunit ribosomal RNA
Source: RNAcentral